GUAGGGAAUCUUCCGCAAUGGGGCGCAAGCCUGACGGAGCAACCCCGCGUGAGUGAGGAAGCCCUUCGGGUUGUAAAACUCAAGUCACCUGGGAAGAGUGGUAUGGGGAGUGGAAAGCCCCAUACGAGACAGUACCAGGGGAGAAGCCCCGGCUAACUACGUGCCAGCAGCCGCGGUAAUACGUAGGGGGCAAGCGUUGUCCGGAAUCACUGGGCGUAAAGCGUGCGUAGGCGGUCUUUCAAGUCCGGGGUGAAAACUCAAGGCUCAACCUUGAGAAUGCCUUGGAAACUGGGGGACUUGAGUACUGGAGAGGCAAGGGGAAUUCCACGUGUAGCGGUGAAAUGCGUAGAGAUGUGGAGGAAUACCAGUGGCGAAGGCGCCUUGCUGGACAGUGACUGACGCUGAGGCACGAAAGCGUGGGGAGCAAACAGGAUUAGAUACCCUGGUAGUCCACGCCGUAAACGAUGAGUGCUAGGUGUUGGGGGUUCAUCCCCUCAGUGCCGAAGGAAACCCAAUAAGCACUCCGCCUGGGGAGUACGGUCG
Molecule: ribosomal RNA, 543 nt
Filed under: uncultured Alicyclobacillus sp.
Lineage: Bacteria; Bacillati; Bacillota; Bacilli; Caryophanales; Alicyclobacillaceae
Description: bacterial SSU rRNA
Rfam family: Bacterial small subunit ribosomal RNA
Source: RNAcentral